AAUAGAUGACGCCGUUGAUUUUUUAUCACAUGUUUGACCAUUCGUCUUAUUCAAAAAAUUUACGUAAUUAUAAUUUAUUUUUGUUAUGAGUUGUGUUAUCACUCAUAGUAAUUUAAAUGUGAUUUAUAUCUUAUACAUUUGCAUAAAAUUUUUAAAUAAGAUGAAUGGUCAAACAUGUGAGAAAAAGUCAAUGGCGUCAUCUAUU
Molecule: microRNA precursor, 205 nt
Filed under: Oryza barthii
Lineage: Eukaryota; Viridiplantae; Streptophyta; Magnoliopsida; Poales; Poaceae
Description: MIR812 microRNA precursor family
Rfam family: MIR812 microRNA precursor family
Source: Rfam by way of RNAcentral